RNAcentral lists this transfer RNA (77 nucleotides) under bacterium. RNAcentral describes it as "tRNA-Ala". It matches the Rfam family "tRNA". From Rfam's summary of the family: Transfer RNA (tRNA) molecules are approximately 80 nucleotides in length. Their secondary structure includes four short double-helical elements and three loops (D, anti-codon, and T loops). Further hydrogen bonds mediate the characteristic L-shaped molecular structure. tRNAs have two regions of fundamental functional importance: the anti-codon, which is responsible for specific mRNA codon recognition, and the 3' end, to which the tRNAs corresponding amino acid is attached (by aminoacyl-tRNA synthetases). tRNAs cope with the degeneracy of the genetic code in two manners: having more than one tRNA (with a specific anti-codon) for a particular amino acid; and 'wobble' base-pairing, i.e. permitting non-standard base-pairing at the 3rd anti-codon position. The record is from RNAcentral. RNAcentral also lists the same sequence under 11 other names.
GGGGAUAUAGCUCAGUUGGCUAGAGCACCUGCUUUGCAAGCAGGGGGUCCAGGGUUCGAGUCCCUGUAUCUCCACCA